AACCGGUUAGGACUAGUUUGCUUGGCCCUCGGCCAAAGGGCGGACGCCGCCUGUGGAAAGUCCCUGGCCUUGGGCCAAGGGGCGGACACAGCCUGUGGAAAGCCCCUACUUGCUUAUGUAUGAGUUGUGUUUGUAUUCUGUAUAUAUAGUAGCAUGGUCUCAGUCCCGCCCUUGGACUCCAUACCAGGCCAAGCUUUGGUGCGCUCGGCUCCCCGCCUCCGUGGCAGCAAUGCCAGGAAUCCCCGUUGCAGUGCGUGGGACUUUAUGACGACUUUUUGUCUGAGGUGGCUCCCGUUUUGAGAACUUUGAGGUACAGAAAAUAGUUCCUUGGUUUUUCUGAAGUCCUCCUUCAGAGCUGUUUGUUUUGUUGUGCCCACAUUGGCCACAGGAUAUUAGAAAGAUACGGUGGGUGAAGCAAUAUCUUUUAUUGGACCAACUUUUACUGGGGAAAGAGACAAGCUUUCAAGCCACACAGAGCUCUUCAUGUGUGGGAAAGGCCUAGGUAGCAGCAGGUAGAACACACCAGAUCUAGGCUGCUCUGCACUUGAUCCUGCGAUCUGCCCUUGAUGACUCAGACGUCGAGAUAAGGAUAAACCUGGACUCCCCGAUGCAUCAGAUACUUGCUGAGACUGCCAAGGCCUUGGUGGCGGGGGAAGCCAGAAUUGCUUCCUCACCAAGCGUCCUGUGGCACCUUAUAGACUAACAGACAUAUUGGAGCUACCCCUCUGAUACUUCCUCACCAACUGAGACAUAUGCAACCCGAGAGUGGAGGGUGGUCCAAGUGUCCUUCAGACUGUGCAGCCUUGCACCCUAUUUGUUCUGCAAACAGCCCAACUUCAUCAACCAGGAGAUCUUGUAUCAAGGACUACAUCUCCUGGGACAAGCCUGCGGUCUGAAGCCAGAAACUGCACCUCCGCAUGUCCACUGCCAAGGCGACCAUCCUGGUCACCGAACUGGCCACAUCCCUUAUGUCUGUGCUGCCGCGGCACUGCCUUCAGAGCUGGGCACCUGGCCAACAUCCGCCACUUUCCAGCCGCCCAGCUCUGAAGGCAGCAGAGAAGUAAGGGUGGCAACACUGUGACUUCUCCUAAAAUAACCCUGCAAUCCCCGUGCAACUCCCUUUUGGGUCAGGACCCCCAAUUUGAGAAACACUGGUCUCCCCCGUGAAAUCUGUAUAGUAUAGGGUAAAACACAGGACCAGAUUUCACAGUCUGUGAAGCAUUUUUCAUGGCCGUGAAUUUGAUAGGACCUAUAAGUAUUUGAACCCCUUGGCAGAGGCAAAAUAUUUUUUCUCAGUUCUUUUGGAAGUGGGUGGGAUUCAGGACAGGGUCUGCCAGAGGACUUUGGCAAUAUUUAGGACCCCUUCAUGCACUGGCAGAGUGACAAGUGUGGGGGUGGAUGUGGAGAUCACAUUGAACAAAGUGUCUGAUUGCUCCGGCAUCUCUUCUGCCUCUAGGUCAAAGUUAGUGGCUACCCUUUGGAGUAGGGCUUGGUGCUCCUUAAUGUCAUCUAGUGGGCUAACAGGGGAGGGCCCCUCCAUUGCUUCGUCUGGAGAGGAGGACAAGGACUAACCACUGGGGGAGGGCCUCAGGCAUCACCCCAUGCAGGGGAAGGGUGUCUCGGGGUGGGCACCUGUCCCUCCACCUCUGCGUCCACUAGCACUUCAUGCACCAAGCCCAUUGCCACUGGUGUCGAUUGGAGUUUGUCCGAUGUGGCAACCGAUGAUUGGCAAGAUGGGGGCAUCGGCUUAACGGCAUGCCCCAGGCAUUCCAGUAAGACCAUUGAGCUGGACACUGGUCCUGCUGCCAGGAUGGCAUCACUGAGGUGGAUGCAACCUCAAGAGCCCAGUCACGACAGUGCUGUUUGGGUGAGGAGCUGGACUCCUUCUCCGUGCCAGAGGAAUCCUCCUCUGGUGACCACGGCUGUUGAGUAGGGGGAGCAGCACUCUGUUGAGGAGCAUCCCCGAGGUCUCAGUGACAGUAAUUGUUGGUGUGGAGAGGGUUGGCACAAAGAUGACUGCUGCUGACUAUAUGGCGACCAGCGCUUCCCUCUGGGUGAGACUUGACACGAGGGCAGAAAUCAGGAGCGCAGUCUAGGCAAUCUGUGGCAGCAAACCGGUGACCUGGGCUAAUGAAGAGACUACGGAUGUGGUGACAAAGGGCACUGCCUCGGCUCUGGAGACCAGCAGUGCUCACUCGCAUUCUGGGAGGCUUUCACGGCUGGCUUGCCCUUGUAGGGAGCCUUUGCUGGUUCCAUUGCUGACGCGGUGCUGGCUGCGGUGGGAGACUCCUUUGCUCUCUGGGCACUGGGAAGGCGUUGACUCUGACAUCAGUCCGGAUUCCCUACCACUCUCCGAAGUCGGUGGCACAUCCCUUAGGGGUGUAGGAGAUCCCUUUGGGGAAGUGCCCCCUUUCAGCUCUGGUGUGGGUAGGUGGUCCUGACAGGGUCCUUUGCACAAUGCCCCUUGGUUCAUCUUGCUCGGAGUCAGGUCCAACUUCUUGGUCGUCUUCUUGGGCAUCAGUGAAGGGGAUUGGUGUGGGGUGGAGUCUAGUUCUGGGGGCGUGCUACGCACUGAGGCCAAAGUGUUGGGUGAUGGAGCCGGCCUGGCCAGCUCCGAGGCUGGCCAAAGAACAGCCUCCAUGAGGAGGGCCCUCAAGCAUAUGUCACGUUCUUUCUGUGUCCUGGAACAAAAGUUCUUACAGAUGUGACACUUUUAACGUGGGAUUCCCCCAGGCACUUCAGACAGCUACCAUGCGGGUCACUAACAGGCAUAGGCCUACUACAGUCAGUGCAGGGCUUAAAACUCGGUGACCGGGGCAUGUCCUGCUUGUGGCAAAGUCCUUGAUGGAACCCUAACUAACUACAGUACUUAACAGCUACUUACUAACUAAUCUAAAAUAAAACAAAACUAUUUACAGAUGGAACACAAAGUUCGAAAGGGAAAGAAACCACGGAUCACUUGCGAUGCAAGGGAGAGAGGUGCGCCGAGCAACUACCACGCACAGUAAGAAGGAACUGAGAGAGGGCUUAGGGCUGGUGGUGCCUGAUAUAUUGACACACGAGUGCGGCACUCAAAGGGGUGCCACAGCCAACUCUACAGAUACUGUUAAGGCAAAAGUCUCUGACAACUGUGCAUGUGGGUGCCCAUGCACCUAGAAUGGAAUCAACAUGAGUGAACAUUUGAAGACUGUAUCUUUAGUCUGUAUUCCUAUCAACAAUAAUUUUAAAAAGUUAUAUAAAAUCAAUAUACACCCAAUAGCAUAUUACCAACAGAUAAUAAGAAAGGAGUAAAUUCAAAGCUGAAAUUAGUAGUGUAUGUCAGGUGGGAUGAGUACUGAAAGUAAGCACUGAAAGAUUAUAUAGCAAUGGGGAGCUGGAUGAAUCUCUUUGCUGUUCAUUUCCAAAUUAACAUCUGGUUAAGAUUCUCCGUACCUCGGAAAGGAACAUUUUUGGAGGUAUUUGUUAAAACUCUAACUAAAAGUUUUGGUUUGAAUAUAGUCUAUAAAUUCUACAUAUAGACCUCCAUGUUUGACAACAUAGAUAUUCAGAGACCAUUCAGAAACAUAAGUCUUGAAUGCUUUUUCAUAGAGAUAAGAAUUUAGGAUCUAUUUGUAACGAGUAUAUUUGCCAUUCCAGUUGAGGGCAGAGCUUUUAGAUUAUAUUUUAGAUUGUAAAGCAAGAAAAUUAAAAAACACAAAGUAGGACGAGUGCUAAUCAGCCUGUCUACAUUCUCUAGUCAAAUCAAACAAGUGUAGCAUUCGCUAUCUUUAAUCAAGUAGGUUAUAUUCACUGUUUUGCGAGAGCGAAAGCAAUUUCCUUUUGAUUGAGAACAGAUGUUACCUGCACAUAGAAGCACCAAGAUUUUUUAACAACUCCCUUAAAAAAAUGUAUGAAAUCUAAAUAAAAGUGCUUUUUUUUUUUUUAAAGGGAGAAGGACAGGGAAACAAAGAGAAGAGUAAUUAAGGGAUGACAGAAUGCAAGUCAUUACACAAAUAUCUCAAAUCAAACUAAUUUAAUGUUUAAACUAGAGAUUUUAAACAUUUUUAUAUUGGACUGGGAGAACUAUCCAGGUUCAUUUACAAAUGGCUGAAUCUUGCAUUUCAUGUUGGGGGUGUGGUUUCUCUCUCUCCCCCAUUUAAGGCAACUUCAUUACAUUAUUUUAGUCCAGUUUAAGAUACUUUUCCACAUUUUAUAUUUAACACUCACUAUGACUAUAUUACUGUAUGCUAAAUUCACAGUAUUCACUAAAUAAGCCUCAGCUUGGGAAUCCAUAGACAGAGGUUUGUUAAGAAAUGCUUUAUCGCACACACCCAAGUUGUGAAACUAUACUUAUAUUGUUGUCAUAUUGCUUCAAAAUAACACUGUCAGUACAUUUAAUCAGUCUUCCACAGAACACUGCCAUAUUCUUAAUUUUACUCUCCAGAUGUUAUGUUGCAAAUUUCCACCAAUGUUGUCCUUUUUGGUUUGUUAAAAGCAAUUUAAAUAGAUUGCGAAGUUAGCAUGACUUGUUUAUUUUUGUGUGAUGCAACAUCUCUGAAUAUAAUCGUACAAUACUAGGAAUGAAUUAAACUUGAUAGUUAGUAUGAGCUCCGACAUAUUGGAUUAACUGCAGCAAUGCGCAAGGUAUACUGCCUAGGUUCUACUAUUAAUCUGUUUUCAGUAACAAAUAUAAACAUGAGAAAAGAUUUAGACUGAAACAUACAUUUUCCAUUAGAUUGUAACAUAAUCAACACACAUGACCUAAGUAAGUAUAAAUGUUUAUACUAUCACUUAAGGCCAUGUAAUUUACUAUGUUGAAUAAGAAAAGUUUAAAAACUUAUAGGUAUCAUUUAAUAAAAGUUUUACCUUUUUCAGUCAAAAGUAUGUUGCAAAUUAUGCCUUAAAUGAGGUACAGUUUCUGAAAAAUUUAAAUUCUUAUGACCAAAUUGGUCAGUUAUGUCCCAAAUGUAAAGGUGUCUAGUUGAUUGUCCUGCCAAAUGUCUCCAGAAUUAACAGACUGCAGCGAUUCAAACAAAAGUUUUGCCACUAAUUUUCUAUACAUCAAAUAAGCAAGAAGAACACCGAUAUUAUAUCCUUCCACCUAGACCAUGGUAGAAUAUUUUUAAACAAAGGCCAUAUAAUCAUACAUUCAAUACAAAUGAAUUAAUUUCAAGAUUUUUAGAGAAGCUAAGCUUACCUGUGUCAGUGAAAGACUGGAUGUCAUAUGUAAGAUCAACACUCAGAUUUUCAGAAUUUUCUGUCUUCUUAAACACUAAACCAAUCACCCACAUCGUACGAAAUUCUUCCCUGAAAAGUGUUAUUAAAAGAAUCAUGUAAUAUUGGAAGAAUGAAUUUAAGUUACUUAAUCUAAAACUCAGAUAAUGUGGUUUGUAACACUGCUGCAAAAUUUGAUAAUGUAGUUGGUUACAUUUUAGCUCAACUGGCAUGAAAUAAGAUUAAAGUACCAAGAAAUCAAACUGAGAUCCAACUACUGAGAACUCCUACUAAAUCGUAACAGAAAACAAAAAGGUCAAUUUCAUACAAACUAUUAAUCAGUGUCAUUAACCAUAUUUUAAAAGGUAUAAGGCUACUACGAAACACUUAUGGCUUGCUUUUUCAGUUUCAAGUUUCAUCUGUUUACACAAAAGACUUCAGACUUAACAAGAAAAGUUACUUGCCUUUAAUUGUUGUUUGCCUACACAGAUUAUCACUUGAGAUUUUCACUACAUGUUUUGGCAUGUAAGCUCAGAAUCCUCUAGCAAAGGGCAACUGUUAGGAGCAAUGUAUGCACUUGUGUGGAUCCACACAUCGAAGUAAAGGUAGAUAAAGGACCUUGGGUCCAACUGUCCUCAUUUUUUUCCCUAUUAAUGUUUAAAGAGCUUAAAUUCCAGAGAAGGAAGGAGCUGUCAUGGGUCUAUCUGCAAUCUAUUCAAAGAAUGACAGUUACAAGUAAAGCUACAUCUACACUACCACUUAUGUUUGCAAAAUUUAUGUUGCUCAGGGGUAUGAAUAUUCCACCCCCAGAGCAACAUAAGUCACACAGGGAUAAGCGCACAUCUUUUGCCAGUCAUCGGGGUGGUUUUUUAAGGCUUAUGAGAGAGCUCUCCCAUUGGCAUAGAAUGUCUUCACUACAUGUGCUGCAAUGACAUGGCUGUAUAGUGUAUACAUGCCCUAGGUGACCUCUUUUCAAGCAUUGCUUAUAUAUAUUCUCCCACUCUUGGUAGAGUGAUUAGUCAUUACAAUCCUCAAAUGAUAUGGGUCUAAACUAUUUAACAACAACAAAAAUGCAAGGACUGCUCUUCCAAACCUGACAUCAGAUCUAAAAGACAAAUUAAAAGAGCACUACCGAUACGAAUUGACCAAUGCACGAGAUAAGUCACAUUUUCAAUGAUGUUUCCACAUCCAAAUUUGUAAUACAAAUUUAUUAAAUAUGCUGUAUAGAAUUCUUUGAAUACAGUAUAAUGCUUUGAUUUUUAAGGUAUUGAAAUAUCCCUGAGGGUUGACUAUAAAGUGUAAUACAUUUGGAUAGCCUGGAAAUUUGUAAACUGAACUAGUCUUAGAAGACUCCCCCAUUACUUCAAGAAGUCGCUUUACUUUGUCAAGUAUGAAAUCUAGAAAGAGACACCGGCAGACUGAUAAAGACUGGUUCAGAGCAAGGCCAGAUCCAAUUGAUUUCAAAUGAAUUUAGGGGCAAAAUGUUAGGAAUCCAGCUUUGAAAGUUCUUGCUCAUAUUUAGGGCCCUACUAAAUUCACGGCCAUGAAAAACGCAUCACAGACCAUGAAAUCUGGUCUCCCACUGUGAAAUCAGGUCUUGUGUGUGCUUUUACCCUAUACUAUACAGAUUUCACAGGGGAGACCAGCAUUUCUCAAAUUGGGGGUCCUGACCCAAAAGGGAUGUGAGGGGGGUCACAGUAUCGUUACCUUUACUUCUGCGCUGUCUUCAGAACUAUGUGGCUGGAGAGCAACGGUUAUUGGCCAGGAACCCAGCUCUGAAGGGAGUGCUCUGCCAGCAGCAGCAUAGAAGUAAGGGUGGCAAUACCAUACCAUGCCACCCUUCUGCACUGCAGCCUUCAGAGUUGGGCAGCUAGGGAGUGGCGGCUGCUGACUGAGGGCCCAGCUCUGUACCAUACCAUAUCAUGCCAUCUUUUUGCGCGGCUGCUGGUAGUGGCUCUGCCUUCAGAGCUGUGUUCCCAGCCAGCAGCUUCCUCUCCAGCUGCUCAGCUCUGAAGCCAGCGCCGCAACCAGCAGAGCAGACAGAAUUACGGGUAGCAGUACCACCACCCAUCCUACAAUAUCUUUGCAACCCCCCUACAACUCCUUUUUUUGUAUCAGGAUCCCCACAGUUACACCAUAACAUUUCAAAUUUGAAUAACUGAAAUCAUUAAAUUUGCAAUUUUCAAAAUCCUAUGACUGAGAAAUUGACCAAAAUGGACCGUUAAUUUGGUAGGGCCCUACUCACAUGUAUAAACUUUGUUUACAUUUGGAAAUUAAUCCACUGGUAGAAAAGUUUGUCAGCAGUAACUCCCCUAUUAGGUCUGGUUUACACUACAGUUAGGCUGAUACAAGGUAGCUUAUAACCUAGUUGUGCAUGUGUCUGCACUAGUCUCCCACCGCUGUACUGACCCUUACACCAACACAGUAACACCACCUACCCAAGUGGCAUAGAGUCAAUAUAUUUAGGUCAACACAGGGCGAGUGUAGACAUAGCAUUCGUUAUGUCGAACCAGCACUUGUUAUGUUGGCCCAAACUGUCCCACAAUGACCCACACUAACUGUUCUGGUCAUCAUUGUGAAUUCCACUGCCCAGGGGUCAUGGAGACCAGAAGUUCCCUCCCCUUUAAAUCCUAGCAAAUUUUUGACAUUCCUUUCCCUACUUGCACACCUAGUAGCUCUCCACUGUUUGUGGAGCUGCCUAGCUGACCAUGCUGGCUACAUGCUCCUGACAUGGCCCAGUCUGGAGUAGACAGGGCCCGUGGGGAGAAGAGGCUGCGAAACAGCCAUAGAAAUGUUGACAUCAACCAGCAGAUUGCUCAGUGGAUGCAAGAGAAGUACGACAGUGACCAGCAGCAGUGCUGGCAUAGAAGGAGUUGCGGCAGGCUUACCAGGUGGCCAGGGAGAUAAACAAUCCAACUGGUGCCAAGCUGCAGACCUGCUGCUUUUAUAAAGAGCUGCAUGCCAUACUCUGCAGAGAUUCCACCCAACCACAGCACCGUGGAUAUCUCCAAGAAGCCUGAGUGACAAGUCCCUGCCGUGAACAGUGGAGAAGGUACAAUAGUGGACAGGAAGAGAUUUACGUGGAACAGGUGACUGGGGGCUCCAGCUGUACAGCGAGCCAGAUUCUGACAGACCAUCACAGACCAGCCAGUCAAGCACAAGGUCUCCCCCUCCACACCUGUGGAACUCCUGAACCAGCUAAGGAAGAGGAGGAGAAAAGAGGAUUCAGGAUGACAUGUUUAAUGAGAUCCUGCAAGCCAGUACUGCAAGGGACAAUGAACACAGGACCUGGAGAAUGAAAACUGAGGAUAGCCUGGAGAAGGAACAAAUGGAGAGGAGAAAGGUCCAGGAGUCCCAGCAGGAAAAGGAGGAGAUGCACUAGGACACAAUGGGGCUUCUCAGGCAGCAAACAGAUGCAGCAAACUGGUGAACCUGCAGAUUCAACAGUCCUAGGUUUGUCUCCCCCUGCAACCCAUUAAGAACUCAAUAUCAGGAAAUCCCAAUAACCCCUUCCCCCCACAUUCCAUGUGGCAUUAUAGUUUGCAGCACUACUGUUACCAUUCCAUCCCACGGGACAUUAAAGACAAUCACAAGCUUCAUAUAUACAGACACAUGAAAGCCUUGGUUGGUGUAUAUAUAGCUGUAGAGGACAUGAAUUCUUUCCCUUUCAUAAGUUCAGUGGCGAUCUCAAGCUUCUCAGGUGUGAAGCAGAAACAACUUUCAGAUCCAACACCAUGGCAUGAUCUGAGUCUCGCUGAGGCAAUAGACACUCCUCUGGUGCUCGCUGCUCAGAGGAGCAGCGCAGGCAGGAUACAGAGUUCUUGAACCCUGGGACACGGGCAUAAUCCCCAAGGGAAGGGGCUGUCUCUGAAUGGGGAUGACUAGCUAACUUACCACUAACUACUACCAAUGCUACAACUACUAACUAUGAGAAGAACUGCAAAGAACUAUGAACUACUAUACACAACGGAAGAAGUCACUCUCUUAGUAAUACCUAAGAGCGCAAAGGAACAGGGCUUCUGACUCAGGCCAUGCAGCAGUAAUAGAGAACUAGAGAGGUGUCAACUCGCACAGCCUAUUAUGCCCUUGACUGAACAUGAGGAGAUGCACGACGUAUGUGUGGGUCAACCAACACUGACAAGGAAAACCUUCCAACUCUGGUGCAUGUGCAACCACGUUUGGAAUACAUAUAGGGACUAUCACUUGAAGAAAUCUGGCUGAUUCAUUGAGCUUUAUUAAGUUUUUAAUAUAUUUGUUUUUAAAUUGCAUGGGGUUUUUUUGGCAUCAAUUUUGUUAUAGAAUAAAAUUAUAUUAAUAAUC
Molecule: long non-coding RNA, 9513 nt
Organism: Gopherus flavomarginatus (Mexican gopher tortoise)
Lineage: Eukaryota; Metazoa; Chordata; Testudines; Testudinidae
Exons: 6
Source: RefSeq, a predicted model, not a curated record